CUCUACGUGCCUGGCGGCGGCGCCACCGCGCGCCUUCCUCAGCCGCUGUUAACCCCGGGGUCUAGAGAAGCACUGAGAGGACUCCUCAGCCUGGCGCUGUGCACAAUUAAAAUAGCAGAGUUCCCAUCUCCAAGGAAUUUGCAACCAUAGACAGCACAGUGAAGACAGGUGUUAACUUGAAGGCAGCGCACAAACGGGAGGCAAUUGAAGUUGUCACCUACUGUACAACACAGUGGCCCUUGUAUGAAGAUCCAAGACACAUAUGGAAAUUAAAGAUUUAAUUAUCACUCCUUUGGAGGAUUUGUUGGCCAUCAGCAACUUGGGCUUAACUUGGGUCCAAUUUUAUAAUUUUAGUAAAUUAUAAUAAUAUUUAUGAUAUCUAUAACUAUAUACUAGUGCUUGGUCUUAUUGUUCAGAUAUAGCUAUAGUUUUUCUUGUUUAAUUUUUAUGUGUUUAUUUUUUAUUUUGUUGAAUUAAUUUUGUCUUUCAUCGGUAUUUGUUAGUUCCUCAUUUUUUUGUGUCUUUCUGUGUAUGUAAAUAGGUAAUUCCUCUAAAUAACAUUUCUUUUGUUAUCAACAUUCUGUCAGUGCUAGUUUACUCUUUGUAUUAAUUCCCAACAAAUUUUUCAGUUUAAUACUCAGGGUAAUAUUUUUAACAUAUUAAAAAGAAUUAAGGAGGAAGAGAAAUUGGAAGUAUGUAAAGAUGGGAAAGCUUAAUAGUUGUAGCUAUUUGGGAAGACAGUGAUGUGAAGGAAAUAAUUAUUACCUACUUACAUAAAAUUCAGUAUUCCUUAUAGUUUUAAAGAGCUAGUCUUUUAAGAAACAAUUGCUAUUUUUUAAAAAAAUAAAAAUAUUAUACAUCCCCAAAGAGAAAA
Homo sapiens (human) is the source of this 874-nucleotide long non-coding RNA. NCBI's taxonomy places the organism in Eukaryota, Metazoa, Chordata, Mammalia, Primates, Hominidae. The record is from Ensembl.